Molecule: long non-coding RNA, 3569 nt
Filed under: Amborella trichopoda
Lineage: Eukaryota; Viridiplantae; Streptophyta; Magnoliopsida; Amborellales; Amborellaceae
Description: long non-coding RNA (ATRI_LNC003291)
Source: RNAcentral
UUUAAUGUUUAUAUUUCUAUAUACAUUGAUGUAUAUGACCAUAUAUGCACUUAUUAUUAGUUUAUAAAUUUAUUAACAUAUAUGUACACUGAUUUAUAUACUACACACACACUCUCACACUCAUACUCACACUCACACUCACACUCGCACAUUUGUUAUCAACUAUAUAUAUAGUUAUUAGUGUGUAAAAAUAAUAUUGAUGUGUGUGUGCGAUGCUGUAUAGAUGCGAUGAGUAUAUGUUGAUAUGUUUGUGUAUAGUGCAUAGUGUGUAAAAUGCAUAAUUGUAUAUAUACAUUUAUUAGUGUGUUAAAAUAUAUACAUUUCUAUAUACAUUGAUGUAUUUGACCAUAUAUAUACUUAUUAUCAGUUUAUACGGUUAGUAACCUAUAUGUUCAUUGAUUUAUAUACUACACACACACAUAUAUACACAAACACACACCCACACACACACACUCACACUCACACAGACACUAACACUGACACUGACACUCACAGAUAUGUAUACUACACAUAUGCGUGGUGUGUAUGGACUGAUGUGUGUAUAUUUACGAUAUGUAUAUGCAUAUGUUUUUACAUAUAUGUAUACAGUUGCUUGCUAUCAGUUAUAUACAAUUAUCGAUGUAUAUAUGCACUGUUAUGCGUACGCACAUGUACCCUAAUGCCUGGAUAAGUGCAUAUAUAAUGUGUAUGUAUACACUAAUACAUGCAUUCUAUAUACACUGAUAUAUUUGACCAUAUUAACUAUUAUUAGUAGUUUAUAUGUAUAUACUGUGUGCGUUAAAUGAUAUGUAUUUAUUUAUAUGUUUAUGUAUAUAUAUAACCUUGCUAUCAGUUAUAUAUGCACUAAUGUGCGACACACAUGGGCACCCUCACGUAUUGAUAGUGCAUACAUUCAUUUCUAUAUACACUGAUAUAUAUGACCAUAUAUGACACUUAUUAUCAGUUUAUACAGUUAUUAGUAUAUAUGUACAAUGAAAUGUAUAUACGCACAUUCAUAUGCAUAUGUAUAAAGGGUUUAUAUGUACACGUAUGUAAAAGACCAUGUAUAUACUUAUUAUCAGUGAUAUAUACAGUUAUUCGCUCAAUUUGUGUACGAAUUGAUGUAUAGUAAUAUAGACCAUUGUUUUCAAUAUAUAUAUACAUACUGAUGCAUAUAACCAUACAAUACAUUAGUUAUCUGCUACAUAUAUAGUUAUUAGUGUGUAAAAAAUACAUUGAUAUGUGUGUAUGUAUGCAUGUGAUGUCUGUAUAUAUACGCUGUGUAUAUACUGAUAUGUGUGUAUGUUUAAAGUGCGUAACUGUAUAUAUACAAUACAUUAAUAUAUACAUUAGUAUAUAUGACGAUAUAUACGGUAUUUAUCAGUUUAUACAGUUAUUAACAUAUAUGUAUACUACACACACACUCGCACUCACACUCACCCACACACACACACUGGCACUCACACUCACAUUCACACUCACACUCACACUCACACUCACAGAUAUAUAUACUACACAUAUGCGUGGUGUAUAGGGACUGAUGUGUGUAUAUAUAAUACGAUAUGUAUAUACUGAUAUUGUUAUGUGUAUGUAAACAAUUGCUUGUUAUCAGUUAUAUACAAUUAUCAAUAUAUGUAUGCACUAAUAUAUGCUCGCACAUGCACCUUUACGCGUUGAUAAGUACAUAUAUACUGUGUAUGUAUACACUAAUACAUGCAUUCUUUUAUACACUGAUAUAUAUGACCAUAAGGAUAUAUAUUGACAGUUUAUAUAUACACAGUGUGUAUAUAUACGAUAUGUAUAUACUGAUAUGUUUAUACGUGUAUGUAUAAACUUGUUGUCUGUUAUAUAUACACUGAUAUGCGUACGCACAUGCACCCUUACGCAUUAAUAGUGCAUAUAUACAUUUUUAUAUACGUCGAUGUUUAUGACCAUGUAUACACUUUUUAUCAGUUUAUACAGUUAUUAGCGUAGAUGUACAUUGAUAUGUAUAUGAAAGCACAGGUGGCAGUUGUAGCCAACAAGGUAAAGGGACAGAUCCCCCUGCCCCCUCCUUUUUGAUUAUUUUCCUCUCAAUUCUUACCAUUCGAAUCAUUAUCUUUUCUGUGAAUGAUUUUUCCUACCAUAUACAAUUUCCAAAUUGUGAUAAAAUCAGGUAUUAUAGAAGGAGAUUAUUUCUUCUGGUUAUCACCUCUAAUCAAAUAAGCCUAGGCGAAAUUCCAUAUUACUUUGUAUAGAAUUAGGCAUAAGAAUGGGUUUCUUCUCUUGAUGUAUUAGGUAUGCUAAAAUACCCAAUUGCGAUAGUCCAUCUAAAGUUUUUAUCAUAUAUCUAUACUUGUUUUUAUUAUUGUUGAUGAGCUUCAUCUUCAUUGAGUUUGCUUGUAAUUCAACAAGCAUGAAUGCAACUUGUCAUCGAGGCGGAUCUCUUUACGUUUUUUGAUAUUUAAGAUCUUGAACUUGAAAGCUUGAUUUGCUUAAUGGUUCUUUCUUCUAUAGUAUAGUACUGCUCUUGCCUCUGUCAUGCAAAUACGGAGUAAAUUUUCUGGAGUUUUACUUGUGGUUUACAAUUUAUUAAGUCACUUUUUCUUAACACGUACACAUACACACACACAACACACACCACACACUCACACACACACAUACACAUUCACACACAAACUAAAACUCACACUCACACACACACACACACUCACACACACAUUCACACUCACACUCGCUCUCACACUCACAAUGUACAUAUAAACGACAUGUAUAUACUGAUAUAUUCAGUGUGCAUAUAAAGGAUAUGUGCAUAUAAAGGAUAUGUAUAUAUUGAUAUGUUUAUACAUGUAUAUAUAAACUUGCUAUUAGUUAUAUGUACACUGAUAUGCGACGCAUAUGCACCUUUACGCAUUGAUAGUAUAUACAUACAUUUUUAUAUACACUGAUAUAUAUGACCAUAUAGAAAUUUAUUAUUUGUUUAUACAGUAAUGAGUGUAUAUGUACACUGAAAUGUAUAUACGCACACUCAUAUGCAUAUUUAUAAAGGGUUUAUAUAUGCACUAAUGUAUAAGAUCAUGUAUAUACUUAUUAUCUGUGAUGUAUACAGUUAUAAGCUCAAUUUGUGUAUAUAUAUGUAUAGCAAUAUAUAUCAUUGUUUUCAGUGCAUAUAUAUUGAUGUGUAUAAAGCAUACAAUACAUUAGUUAUCUGUAAUAUAUACAGUUAUUAGUGUGUAAAAAAUACAUUGAUAUGUGUGUGUGAUAUCUGUAUAUAUACGAUGUGCUUAUAUUUGAUAUGUGUGUAUGUGUAAAGUGCAUAAAGUUUUAUAUACAGUACAUUAAUGUAUAAAUUUUUUUAUACAUUGAUAUAUAUGAUCAUAUAUACACUUAUUAUCAGUUUAUACAGCUAUUAACGCAUAUAUACACUGAUUUAUAUACUACACACACACUCACACUCACACUCACACUCACAUAUAUAUAUACUACACAUGUGCGUGUUGUGUAUGGAUACAGUUGCUUGCUAUCUGUUAUAUACAUUGAUAUGCGCACUCACAUGGACCCUUACGCGUUGAUAAGUGGAUAUAUAUUAUAUAUGUAUACAGUGUCUAUAU